UUCGCAUGUUUCGUGCCUAUGAAUGUGCAUGCACUUAUGCUAAUGCUUUCAUCCCUAUUCGAUCAUUUCAUUUUCUCCGCUUUUAUAGAAAAAAAGAUGGCUAAAAAAAGAAAAGAAGAUAUUAUAAGAGAAGAGAAAAUAAAAAAUGAGGAAGAAAUGCUAAAAAAAUCAAGGCUAGAAAUUUUUCCAUCCUCUACAAAUAUUUCUAUUAAAGAAGAGGACCAUAUAAUAACAGAAGGAAAAAAAAAUACUUUACAUAUUGCUAGGCAAACUAUUGACAACAUACAUAAAGAAUUUAAUUUUGACGAACAAGAUAUAACUAUUAGUGAAAAUGAAAUAUCUGUAACUAGCAGUUUUUUGUCCUAUGAAAACAUAAAUAAUAGAAGUAUGGAUAGCUUAAUAAAAAAAUAUAAAGUUAUGCAGAAAAGUAAUAAUGUUGAUUAUAAAGAAUUAAGGAAACUAAAGUUUUAUAUAUGUCGCAAAUUAAAAAAAAAAAAGUAUAUUUUAAAAACAACACGAUUAGACCAUAUGAAAAAAAAAAUAAAAAAAGCUUCAAAAGUGAAAGGGUAUAAUUUGUUGGCUCUAGUGGAAAAAGGUACAGCAUGCCAAUUAAAAUUACGUUGUUGUCAAAUUAUGUGACAAACAAUUACGCUGUGAAUGGGUGUUCUUAUUCAUAUUCAUGUGGGUGUACAUAUACUCACUUGUUUAUAUACUUACAUUUUUAUAUACUCAUUUAUAUAUUUAUUUUGGCCCAUUUUAAUCCCUAAAGGUGGUAGCACAUCUUCAGAGAAAGAGUUAGAAGAAUCAAAAAACUCAGAAGAAUCAGACCUUUAUGGAGAAAGUGAAAUAUAUAGAAGUGACAAAAACACAGAUGAUAUGAAUAGUUCUCAAUAUACAUAUUCUUCUUUAGCAAUUUCUGAAUAUGAAAAUUUAAGAUUUAGAGAUAUAUAUUAUAAUGAUAAUUCAUAUGAGAAUAUAUUUAAUAAUAAAGAUCCUAAAAUAAAUGUUACUUAUUUGUAUGACGUGGUUGAAUUUAUGCUUAUUGAUGACAAUCAGAAUAACUUGCCUAAAAUACAAAUACUAUGGAUGGAACUGUUUGUUCUGAAUCUAAAUUUUUACAGAUGUGUACGACAUAUAGAAGAAGAAUUCUUAGAGUAUGCAUUUGAGAUAAACAAUGAUACGAUAAUAAAGAUAGAAAAACAAAGUGAGGAUAAAUUUAAAAUGUUAUUAAAAUUAAAUGAUAAAAACGAUAAACAAGUUAAAUGUUGUUUGCUAGGUAUUAAGGAAAAAAUGAUGGCAAUAUGUGAUAAUAUAGUACAAAGAAUCUUAUUAUCGAAAUAUAUAAAAUGUUUACAAACUAAGAAUAUAGGCAUUGUUUAUAAUGCUGCAAUAUUUUUUUUAUAUGAUAAAAGAUUAUUAGACUUAAAAAAUGUAAAGUAUGA
Molecule: long non-coding RNA, 1442 nt
Filed under: Piliocolobus tephrosceles (Ugandan red Colobus)
Lineage: Eukaryota; Metazoa; Chordata; Mammalia; Primates; Cercopithecidae
Description: lncRNA (ENSPTEG00000001868.1)
Source: RNAcentral